UGUCCCCGUCGCCGCCGCCCGCCCACCUCUCCAAGAGUCAGUUCCCCGCCUCGCCCUCUCCAGGUCUGCCGCUUCUCUCCUCUACUCUCUUCCCUCACCGACUUGCUGCUACGCCGACAUCUGCUUCUUCGACAUCUGCUUCUUCAUACUCCAGUUAAAAUCUAGCUUGACAACCGCGUAGACGUUGCCAAGACUUUCAGCAAUUGCAAAACUCGAUACGCAACCCCAGCAUGAAGUGUACGAUACUCUUAGUCCUCCUGCUCCUUGUGAUAUGCCCCGUGUUGUCACACGCUGCCCCACAAGUCUUUGGAGGAGCAGGAGCAUUCAUCGGUAUGCGCCGCUUUAACAGAAAACCCAGGAAGAAUCCACAACCUAAACCUAAUUACCCAGACCACCGCCAACCAAGAUACCCAUACGACCCAACAGGACACGGCGACCCACAUUUCUCUUAUUAUUAUAAAUAGCAAUACAACACGUCUGGAGAUACAACCUGCUCCUUCAGCCAUCACGGUCUACCUCCCUGCACCAAGUCAUUGCUGCAUACAAGAACUGACGAUAAUCAUCAUGAUAUGCUCAUGUACUUCACAAAAUACACACUGCAGGAUGUGUAGUGUAUGGUAGCCUGUGAGACUCUGAAGGAGUGUUCACGAAGUGGGUUUUCUUGGCUUGUGUUACGUUGGUACCAUUAUUUUCAAAUAAGGAGCUACAAUAGUGCUAAUGUCUCAAAAAAAAUAUGUAAAAUUUAUAUCCUCACUAAGCUAAUACUAAACUUAAUGCUAAAAGUUACUUAAAACCCAUCAUAAAAAAAAAUUAGGUUUUGUUCACAUAUAUCAAGAAAUUUGAAGGAAAAAAAUGUGUGAUAAAGAAAUCAUUUUACAAUUUAGGUACAUAAUAAUAGUGGGAGCUACGCACAUUUUAUAUAGGAUUCACAGCUAACAGACCAAAGGGUCAAUAACGAGAUUUCAUUUUAAUGGUGAUUUUGAAUAUUAAUCUCAUCUAAUAAAACUUUAAUGACUAGAAGUAAACAUUCA
This is a long non-coding RNA of Procambarus clarkii (red swamp crayfish), 1031 nucleotides long. RefSeq lists it as uncharacterized. The record is from RefSeq and is a predicted model, not a curated record. NCBI's taxonomy places the organism in Eukaryota, Metazoa, Arthropoda, Malacostraca, Decapoda, Cambaridae.